UACGUAGGUGGCGAGCGUUGUCCGGAAUCAUUGGGCGUAAAGAGCGCGUAGGUGGUUUGUCAGGUCUGAUGUGAAAUCCCGUGGCUCAACUGCGGAACUGCAUCGGAAACCGGCUUACUAGAGUCUGGGAGAGGAGAGUGGAAUUCCUGGUGUAGCGGUGAAAUGCGUAGAUAUCAGGAGGAACACCGGUAGCGAAGGCGGCUCUCUGGAACAGUACUGACACUGAGGCGCGAAAGCUAGGGUAGCAAACGGG
RNAcentral lists this ribosomal RNA (253 nucleotides) under uncultured bacterium. RNAcentral's name for it is "partial 16S ribosomal RNA". It matches the Rfam family "Bacterial small subunit ribosomal RNA", at positions 524 to 776 of the family's 1533-position model. The record is from RNAcentral.